AUACGUAGGGGGCGAGCGUUGUCCGGAAUUACUGGGCGUAAAGGGUGCGUAGGCGGCAGCUUAAGUUACAUGUGAAAUACCCGGGCUUAACUUGGGGGGUGCAUGUAAUACUGGGCAGCUAGAGUACAGGAGAGGGAAGCGGAAUUCCUAGUGUAGCGGUGAAAUGCGUAGAUAUUAGGAGGAACACCAGUGGCGAAGGCGGCUUUCUGGACUGACACUGACGCUGAGGCACGAAAGCGUGGGGAGCAAACAGGAUUAGAUACCCUGGUAGUCCACGCUGUAAACGAUGAAUACUAGGUGUAGGGGGUAUAGACUCCCCCUGUGCCGGAGCGAACGCAAUAAGUAUUCCGCCUGGGGAGUACGGCCGCAAGGUUGAA
This 377-nucleotide ribosomal RNA is filed under the name uncultured bacterium. RNAcentral's name for it is "bacterial SSU rRNA". It matches the Rfam family "Bacterial small subunit ribosomal RNA", at positions 523 to 898 of the family's 1533-position model. The record is from RNAcentral.